GCUUUCGGCACAGCAAUUCCUUCACACCGAGUUACCUCGAGAGUUGUUCCCAGUCUACAAAAAGGGGCACAGGUGGUUAAAGUUGGUGGCAAGCGUGCACAUGUCCCGAAGGACCAGCAGCAGCUGACCAAGUUUAUUCAAUAAUGAUCCUUCCGUAGGUGACACAACGUGGCGGUAGGAUCAUUAUUGAAUAACUUUUAUUUUGGGGUCAAGCUGCUGCUGGUUCUUGGGGACAUUUUGUACGCUUGCCACCAACUUUAACCACCUGUGGACCUUUUGUAGACUGGGAACAACUCUCGAGGUAACUCGGUGUGAGGAUUGCUGUGCGAAAGCCGGCUGUCUUUGUGUUUUUCAGUGUAUGUUUUAUAUACCCCAUAGCAUGUAUAAAGAAUGUAUUGACAGGCCUCAGUGCCUAUAAACCUAAUACAACUUUCAACAACGGAUCUCUUGGCUCUCGCAUCGAUGAAGAACGCAGCGAAAUGCGAUAAGUAAUGUGAAUUGCAGAAUUCAGUGAAUCAUCGAAUCUUUGAACGCACCUUGCGCUCCUUGGUAUUCCGAGGAGCAUGCCUGUUUGAGUGUCAUUAAAUUCUCAACCAUACGAGUUUGUAUGAACUUUGUAUGGCUUGGAUCAUGGGAUUUGCGGGCUUGAAUUAGUCGGCUCUCCUGAAAGGCAUUAGCAGAACUUUUGUUGCUAAUCUCUGGUGUGAUAACUAUCUACGCCAUUGUGAGGUGACAUGCUAAGGAACUGCUUACAAUCGUCUUUGCAGACAACCUUGACAAUCUGACCUCAAAAUCAAGGUAGGGGUUCCCGCUGAACUUAAGCAUAUCAAUAAGCGGAGGAAGCAUUUAUUGACUAAACUUGGUCAAGCUGCUGCUGGUCUUCGGGACAUGUGCCUGCUUGCCACCAACUUUUACCACCUGUGCACCUUUUGUAGACUGGGGAACAACUCUCAGGGUCACUCGUUGUGAGGA
This 972-nucleotide ribosomal RNA is filed under the name Clitopilus sp. BAB-5031. RNAcentral describes it as "eukaryotic LSU rRNA". The stretch from base 428 to 581 matches the Rfam family "5.8S ribosomal RNA". Lineage: Eukaryota; Fungi; Basidiomycota; Agaricomycetes; Agaricales; Entolomataceae. The record is from RNAcentral.